UUAAUUAAAGCCAAAUUAGAGGCAUAUUAUUGUUAAUAAUAUUAUUAUAAAUUUUUUAUUAAUUAAA
This 67-nucleotide transfer RNA is filed under the name Ettchellsia sinica. RNAcentral's name for it is "tRNA-Asn". Lineage: Eukaryota; Metazoa; Arthropoda; Insecta; Hymenoptera; Megalyridae. The record is from RNAcentral.